RNAcentral lists this ribosomal RNA (433 nucleotides) under uncultured bacterium. RNAcentral describes it as "partial 16S ribosomal RNA". It matches the Rfam family "Bacterial small subunit ribosomal RNA", at positions 29 to 507 of the family's 1533-position model. The record is from RNAcentral.
AACGAACGCUGGCGGCAUGCCUAACACAUGCAAGUCGAACGAGACCUUCGGGUCUAGUGGCGCACGGGUGCGUAACGCGUGGGAACUUGCCCUUAGGUUCGGAAUAACUCCCCGAAAGGGGUGCUAAUACCGGAUAAUCUCUUCGGACCAAAGAUUUAUCGCCUUUGGAUGGGCCCGCGUUGGAUUAGCUAGUUGGUAGGGUAAAAGCCUACCAAGGCGACGAUCCAUGGCUGGUCUGAGAGGAUGAUCCGCCACACUGGGACUGAGACACGGCCCAGACUCCUACGGGAGGCAGCAGUGGGGAAUAUUAGACAAUGGGCGAAAGCCUGAUCCAGCAAUGCCGCGUGAGUGAUGAAGGCCUUAGGGUUGUAAAGCUCUUUUACCCGGGAUGAUAAUGACAGUACCGGGAGAAUAAGCUCCGGCUAACUCCGUG